RNAcentral lists this ribosomal RNA (216 nucleotides) under Glomeromycotina sp. RNAcentral's name for it is "partial small subunit ribosomal RNA". The stretch from base 40 to 216 matches the Rfam family "Eukaryotic small subunit ribosomal RNA", at positions 686 to 864 of the family's 1831-position model. Lineage: Eukaryota; Fungi; Glomeromycota. The record is from RNAcentral.
GGGUCAGUAGGGUGGUCGUGCCACCGGUACGUACUGGUCUAACUGAUUCCUCCUUCCUGAAGAACCGUAAUGCCAUUAAUUUGGUGUUGCGGGGAAACAGGACUGUUACUUUGAAAAAACUAGAGUGUUUAAAGCAAGCUAACGCUUGAAUACAUUAGCAUGGAAUAAUGAAAUAGGACGUUCGAUCCUAUUUUGUUGGUUUCUAGGAUUGACGUA